AAGACUAUACUUUCAGGGAUCGUUCUAUAGUUUCUGACUUGAGAAAUGUGUUUCUAAAGUGUUUGGUCUCGCUAACCACGAUGAUGAGUCGUGAUAUUUCCUUCUGAGCGUGAAGCUGACAGAGAAUAAUGAUUCAGUUCGUAUGUUCUCUGUCAUUGAUGACCGUUCGUUGUUUCCUAGAGGAGCAUUAAGGAAGGGAAUAUGAUCAGAGUGGUA
Molecule: small nucleolar RNA, 216 nt
Organism: Dicentrarchus labrax (European seabass)
Lineage: Eukaryota; Metazoa; Chordata; Actinopteri; Moronidae
Source: Ensembl